RNAcentral lists this ribosomal RNA (465 nucleotides) under uncultured Klebsiella sp. Its description in RNAcentral is "bacterial SSU rRNA". It matches the Rfam family "Bacterial small subunit ribosomal RNA", at positions 338 to 795 of the family's 1533-position model. The record is from RNAcentral. Lineage: Bacteria; Pseudomonadati; Pseudomonadota; Gammaproteobacteria; Enterobacterales; Enterobacteriaceae.
CCUACGGGAGGCUGCAGUGGGGAAUAUUGCACAAUGGGCGCAAGCCUGAUGCAGCCAUGCCGCGUGUGUGAAGAAGGCCUUCGGGUUGUAAAGCACUUUCAGCGGGGAGGAAGGCGUUAAGGUUAAUAACCUUGGCGAUUGACGUUACCCGCAGAAGAAGCACCGGCUAACUCCGUGCCAGCAGCCGCGGUAAUACGGAGGGUGCAAGCGUUAAUCGGAAUUACUGGGCGUAAAGCGCACGCAGGCGGUCUGUCAAGUCGGAUGUGAAAUCCCCGGGCUCAACCUGGGAACUGCAUUCGAAACUGGCAGGCUAGAGUCUUGUAGAGGGGGGCAGAAUUCCAGGUGUAGCGGUGAAAUGCGUAGAGAUCUGGAGGAAUACCGGUGGCGAAGGCGGCCCCCUGGACAAAGACUGACGCUCAGGUGCGAAAGCGUGGGGAGCAAACAGGAUUAGAUACCCGAGUAGUC